GUCUGGUGGUUGGUUGUGUGCUAAUGUAUCUUUGGGUCGUGGGUUCAAAUCCUUGUGUGUGCAUUUUGGUGAAAUAUUUUUAUUUUUGUUAAAUAUUAGGUUUGUUUUAAGUUUAAAAUUGAUUAUUUAUUUUCUUUUAGUUUUUCUCUUAUUAUUUUUAGUUUUAUUUUAAGUUUUUUUCCUUUUUCACGUUCUCCUCUCUCACUAUCGUUUUUCUUUUCUCUCUCUUUCUUUUUGCUUUCUUACGACCUUUGAAAAGAAAAAAAAAGAGAAGAACAGUUCUAUUUAUGAUUUUCGAAAAGAUUUGAUUUCCUAGAACAG
Molecule: long non-coding RNA, 321 nt
Filed under: Gossypium raimondii (Peruvian cotton)
Lineage: Eukaryota; Viridiplantae; Streptophyta; Magnoliopsida; Malvales; Malvaceae
Description: long non-coding RNA (GRAI_LNC006683)
Source: RNAcentral